Molecule: ribosomal RNA, 137 nt
Filed under: uncultured eukaryote
Lineage: Eukaryota
Description: partial 18S ribosomal RNA
Rfam family: Eukaryotic small subunit ribosomal RNA
Source: RNAcentral
UGGUGGAGUGAUUUGUCAGGUUAAUUCCCUUAACGAACGAGACCUUAACCUACUAAAAUAGACGCGCUCUAUUCUUUAGGCGUUGUUCUUCUUAGAGGGACUAUGUGCAAAACACAUGGAAGUUUGAGGCAAUAACA